RNAcentral lists this ribosomal RNA (483 nucleotides) under uncultured bacterium. RNAcentral's name for it is "bacterial SSU rRNA". It matches the Rfam family "Bacterial small subunit ribosomal RNA", at positions 28 to 507 of the family's 1533-position model. The record is from RNAcentral.
GAUGAACGCUAGCGGCAGGCUUAAUACAUGCAAGUCGAGGGGCAGCAGGGAUAGCAAUAUUCGCUGGCGACCGGCGCACGGGUGCGUAACACGUAUACAAUCUGCCUUUUACAGGGGGAUAGCCUUUCGAAAGAGAGAUUAAUACCCCAUAAUAGAUUUAAUGGCAUCAUUAGAUUUUGAAAACUGCGGCGGUAAAAAAUGAGUAUGCGUCUGAUUAGCUAGUAGGUGAGGUAACGGCUCACCUAGGCCACGAUCAGUAGGGGAUCUGAGAGGACUACCCCCCACACGGAUACUGAGACACGGAUCCGACUCCUACGGGAGGCAGCAGUAAGGAAUAUUGGACAAUGCCCGCAAGGGUGAUCCAGCCAUGCCGCGUGCAGGAAGACUGCCCUAUGGGUUGUAAACUGCUUUUAUACAAGAGAAAACCUCCCUUCGUGAAGGGAGCUGAUAGUAUUGUAGGAAUAAGCAUCGGCUAACUUCGUG